GAGGGUGGUUAAAAUUUUCAUUUACAUUGAAGAAUACCUUUUAAGGCACUUUCA
This 54-nucleotide transfer RNA is filed under the name Gammarus fossarum. RNAcentral's name for it is "tRNA-Val". The record is from RNAcentral. Lineage: Eukaryota; Metazoa; Arthropoda; Malacostraca; Amphipoda; Gammaridae.